Molecule: long non-coding RNA, 633 nt
Organism: Mytilus californianus (California mussel)
Lineage: Eukaryota; Metazoa; Mollusca; Bivalvia; Mytilida; Mytilidae
Exons: 3
Source: RefSeq, a predicted model, not a curated record
UUCAUUUCUACUAAAUAUCUAAGUAAGAUAAACGGUGUUUAUUGAAACAUGGAAAACAUUGUUUUGAUAUCGUCAUUCUUUGCUGGAGUGUAUGCAGGAUCCUGCUACUACGAACAUAAGGAGGUCCUGACUCCAAAUCCCUUUGAAUUUUACUACAGCAAUUCCUAUAAUUAUGAGUACUGUCUUGCUGGCUGUUGUGGCGCCUAUAAACCUGGUAGGAUUAAACACUGCUGUGACUCGACAGGAGCUACAAUUGGGAUUCUGGUUGCUGUGGUAGUGUUCGUUGCAUUUAUUGUCACAGCUGGUUUCGUGUAUAGGCGAAGACGACGACUGUUACUGGCUAACGCUGGAUCGACUGAACAAAACAGAUCGGUGACACCAGGUUCUAUGUCGGAGCCGUCAACAGAUAGUCAUACUCAUUAUUAAAGUCAACACAUACCAAUUACCAACAAACAGGAACCGGAAAUGGAUGUCCUUACCUCAGUAAUGAAUAACGCCUGCAUUAUAGACAAAAUACUGCUUAGUUUGCAAGAGAUAUGAUAGUUUUGUAUUCUAUUUACUUAAUAUACGGUUUUUUAAGAUUGUAUAUUGUUUUGAUGGUUUUUUUUCGCAAUUGAGUUGGUUAUGUUUUUA